UGUCAAAUCAUCAUGCCCCUUAAGUUCUGGGCUACACACGUACUACAAUGGCGCAAACAAAGGGCAGCGAAGGGGCGACCCGGAGCGAAUCCCAAAAAAGGCGUCCCAGUUCGGAUCGCAGGCUGCAACCCGCCUGCGUGAAGUCGGAAUUGCUAGUAAUCGCGGAUCAGCAUGCCGCGGUGAAUACGUUCCCGGGCUUU
Molecule: ribosomal RNA, 200 nt
Filed under: uncultured prokaryote
Description: partial 16S ribosomal RNA
Rfam family: Bacterial small subunit ribosomal RNA
Source: RNAcentral